This 1364-nucleotide ribosomal RNA is filed under the name uncultured bacterium. Its description in RNAcentral is "bacterial SSU rRNA". It matches the Rfam family "Bacterial small subunit ribosomal RNA", at positions 28 to 1381 of the family's 1533-position model. The record is from RNAcentral.
AUUGAACGCUGGCGGCUUGCUUAACACAUGCAAGUCGAGCGGUAGCACAGGGGAGCUUGCUCCCUGGGUGACGAGCGGCGGACGGGUGAGUAAUGUCUGGGAAACUGCCUGAUGGAGGGGGAUAACUACUGGAAACGGUAGCUAAUACCGCAUAACGUCGCAAGACCAAAGAGGGGGACCUUCGGGCCUCUUGCCAUCAGAUGUGCCCAGAUGGGAUUAGCUAGUAGGUGGGGUAAUGGCUCACCUAGGCGACGAUCCCUAGCUGGUCUGAGAGGAUGACCAGCCACACUGGAACUGAGACACGGUCCAGACUCCUACGGGAGGCAGCAGUGGGGAAUAUUGCACAAUGGGCGCAAGCCUGAUGCAGCCAUGCCGCGUGUGUGAAGAAGGCCUUCGGGUUGUAAAGCACUUUCAGCGAGGAGGAAGGUGGUGAACUUAAUACGUUCAUCAAUUGACGUUACUCGCAGAAGAAGCACCGGCUAACUCCGUGCCAGCAGCCGCGGUAAUACGGAGGGGGCAAGCCGUUAUCGGAAUUUACUGGGCGUAAAGCGCACGCAGGCGGUUUGUUAAGUCAGAUGUGAAAUCCCCGGGCUCAACCUGGGAACUGCAUUUGAAACUGGCAAGCUAGAGUCUCGUAGAGGGGGGUAGAAUUCCAGGUGUAGCGGUGAAAUGCGUAGAGAUCUGGAGGAAUACCGGUGGCGAAGGCGGCCCCCUGGACGAAGACUGACGCUCAGGUGCGAAAGCGUGGGGAGCAAACAGGAUUAGAUACCCUGGUAGUCCACGCUGUAAACGAUGUCGAUUUGGAGGUUGUGCCCUUGAGGCGUGGCUUCCGGAGCUAACGCGUUAAAUCGACCGCCUGGGGAGUACGGCCGCAAGGUUAAAACUCAAAUGAAUUGACGGGGGCCCGCACAAGCGGUGGAGCAUGUGGUUUAAUUCGAUGCAACGCGAAGAACCUUACCUACUCUUGACAUCCAGAGAACUUUCCAGAGAUGGAUUGGUGCCUUCGGGAACUCUGAGACAGGUGCUGCAUGGCUGUCGUCAGCUCGUGUUGUGAAAUGUUGGGUUAAGUCCCGCAACGAGCGCAACCCUUAUCCUUUGUUGCCAGCGGUUCGGCCGGGAACUCAAAGGAGACUGCCAGUGAUAAACUGGAGGAAGGUGGGGAUGACGUCAAGUCAUCAUGGCCCUUACGAGUAGGGCUACACACGUGCUACAAUGGCAUAUACAAAGAGAAGCGACCUCGCGAGAGCAAGCGGACCUCAUAAAGUAUGUCGUAGUCCGGAUUGGAGUCUGCAACUCGACUCCAUGAAGUCGGAAUCGCUAGUAAUCGUAGAUCAGAAUGCUACGGUGAAUACGUUCCCGGGCCU